This 610-nucleotide ribosomal RNA is filed under the name Labrenzia sp. Its description in RNAcentral is "bacterial SSU rRNA". It matches the Rfam family "Bacterial small subunit ribosomal RNA", at positions 49 to 706 of the family's 1533-position model. The record is from RNAcentral. Lineage: Bacteria; Pseudomonadati; Pseudomonadota; Alphaproteobacteria; Hyphomicrobiales; Stappiaceae.
CUACACAUGCAGUCGAACGAACUCUUCGGAGUUAGUGGCAGACGGGUGAGUAACGCGUGGGAAUAUACCUUUCGGUACGGAACAACAGUUGGAAACGACUGCUAAUACCGUAUGCGCCCUAUGGGGGAAAGAUUUAUCGCCGAAGGAUUAGCCCGCGUUGGAUUAGCUAGUUGGUGGGGUAAAGGCCUACCAAGGCGACGAUCCAUAGCUGGUCUGAGAGGAUGAUCAGCCACACUGGGACUGAGACACGGCCCAGACUCCUACGGGAGGCAGCAGUGGGGAAUAUUGGACAAUGGGGGCAACCCUGAUCCAGCCAUGCCGCGUGAGUGAUGAAGGCCCUAGGGUUGUAAAGCUCUUUCAGCGAGGAGGAUAAUGACGUUACUCGCAGAAGAAGCCCCGGCUAACUUCGUGCCAGCAGCCGCGGUAAUACGAAGGGGGCUAGCGUUGUUCGGAAUCACUGGGCGUAAAGCGCACGUAGGCGGAUUGGUCAGUUAGGGGUGAAAUCCCAGAGCUCAACUCUGGAACUGCCUUUAAUACUGCCAGUCUUGAGUCCGAGAGAGGUGAGUGGAACUCCGAGUGUAGAGGUGAAAUUCGUAGAUAUUCGGAAGAA